AUUGAACGCUGGCGGCAUGCUUUACACAUGCAAGUCGAACGGCAGCGCGGGCUUCGGCCUGGCGGCGAGUGGCGAACGGAUGAGUAAUGCAUCGGAACGUGCCCAGUAGUGGGGGAUAGCCCGGCGAAAGCCGGAUUAAUACCGCAUACGACCUGAGGGUGAAAGCGGGGGACCGAAAGGCCUCGUGCUAUUGGAGCGGCCGAUGUCGGAUUAGCUAGUUGGUGGGGUAAAGGCUUACCAAGGCGACGAUCCGUAGCUGGUCUGAGAGGACGACCAGCCACACUGGGACUGAGACACGGCCCAGACUCCUACGGGAGGCAGCAGUGGGGAAUUUUGGACAAUGGGGGCAACCCUGAUCCAGCCAUGCCGCGUGCGGGAAGAAGGCCUUCGGGUUGUAAACCGCUUUUGUUCGGGAAGAAAUCCUCUGGGCUAAUACCCCGGGGGGAUGACGGUACCGGAAGAAUAAGCACCGGCUAACUACGUG
Molecule: ribosomal RNA, 484 nt
Filed under: uncultured bacterium
Lineage: Bacteria
Description: partial 16S ribosomal RNA
Rfam family: Bacterial small subunit ribosomal RNA
Source: RNAcentral